RNAcentral lists this ribosomal RNA (467 nucleotides) under uncultured bacterium. RNAcentral describes it as "partial 16S ribosomal RNA". It matches the Rfam family "Bacterial small subunit ribosomal RNA", at positions 28 to 507 of the family's 1533-position model. The record is from RNAcentral.
GACGAACGCUGGCGGCGUGCUUAACACAUGCAAGUCGAACGGAAAGGCUCCAUCUUGCUGGAGUACUCGAGUGGCGAACGGGUGAGUAACACGUGGGUAAUCUGCCCUGCACUCUGGGAUAAGCCUGGGAAACUGGGUCUAAUACUGGAUAUGACCUUUCUCCUUAUGGGGUUUGGUGGAAAGUUUUUCGGUGUAGGAUGAGCCCGCGGCCUAUCAGCUUGUUGGUGGGGUGAUGGCCUACCAAGGCGACGACGGGUAGCCGGCCUGAGAGGGUGAUCGGCCACAUUGGGACUGAGAUACGGCCCAGACUCCUACGGGAGGCAGCAGUGGGGAAUAUUGCACAAUGGGCGGAAGCCUGAUGCAGCGACGCCGCGUGAGGGAUGACGGCCUUCGGGUUGUAAACCUCUUUCAGCAGGAACGAAGCGUAAGUGACGGUACCUGCAGAAGAAGCACCGGCUAACUAUGUG